RNAcentral lists this long non-coding RNA (768 nucleotides) under Gallus gallus (chicken). RNAcentral's name for it is "long non-coding RNA NONGGAT003447". Lineage: Eukaryota; Metazoa; Chordata; Aves; Galliformes; Phasianidae. The record is from RNAcentral.
CAGCUUUGUUUUAGAGCAACAAACCUGAACAGAUAUUAAUUUGUCUGUUGAGGACGGUCCAGUCAGAAGGAGUCAAAUUCAAGUUGGUAUUCUUCAGUGACCUGCAGGAACAUUAAACAUCUACCAGGCAGUCAGAGAGCAGUGUUCAGCUGCCCAGCAGUACAGCACCACAUUGACUACCCAGCCACUAUCCUCAGAGAUCUCUGAAGCAUUGGGCAGCUCUUUCAGCUCUCAGGAGAGUACAGUUUGACAAGGUGCUGGAGCUCUGUGGCAUAGCCUGUAAUUGGGCAGCGCUGGUAACAACUGAACGGAAUGGAGGUUGGAAUGUAAAAAAAGAAGCAAAACAAUCAAUUUUAUUACCACUAAAUCCUGUGAAGCUAACCCCUGCUACCUGUAUCCACAUUUUCAUCACUUAUAUUCCUUCUGGAGCAUGUUUUGAGAGAAGGAAACUUAAUCUUGAAGAUUAAUAACACUCAGGAACGCAGCUGCUGACAUACCUGUGUGUUUGACUUGAGGCUGCUACAGCCAGUUUCUUCUCCAGGGCCUGGAUAUCCUCUGCAGUCAGUCUCACCAGGCGAACGCCAGCCAGCCGCAGCAAGGGGGAAUGAUGCUGAGCCUUCCCGAGGAUGUAGCACAAUUGCUGGAUCAGAAACCAGCCCUCCCAGGCCAUGUUUAUAAAGGGGUAGGCAGCUAGAAAGGCUCGGUAAAAACGCUUCCAGGAGGAUGAUGGAGGAUGGAUGGAGUACUCAUCCUCUUCCCUAAGGCUGG